CCUCCUCGAUCUGCUGCGGGCAGAUGAAAUGGAUAUGGCUAUCGAUGAAACCGGCGGUCAGGAUCUUGCCCUCACCGGCGAUCACGUCGGUCGUCGGGCCGACGAUGAUGGUCACGCCGGGCUGGAUAUCCGGGUUGCCGGCCUUGCCGAUUCCCGCGAUGCGCCCGUCGCGGAUGCCCACAUCGGCCUUCACGAUGCCCCAGUGGUCGAUGAUCAGGGCGUUGGUGAUGACGGUAUCGACGGCGCCGCCCGCCCGCGUGACCUGCGACUGGCCCAUGCCGUCGCGG
Oceanibaculum indicum P24 is the source of this 287-nucleotide non-coding RNA. The record is from Rfam. NCBI's taxonomy places the organism in Bacteria, Pseudomonadati, Pseudomonadota, Alphaproteobacteria, Rhodospirillales, Oceanibaculaceae.